This 431-nucleotide ribosomal RNA is filed under the name uncultured bacterium. RNAcentral describes it as "partial 16S ribosomal RNA". It matches the Rfam family "Bacterial small subunit ribosomal RNA", at positions 29 to 506 of the family's 1533-position model. The record is from RNAcentral.
ACGAACGCUGGCGGCAUGCCUAACGCAUGCCAGUCGAACGAAGGCUUCGGCCUUAGUGGCGCACGGGUGCGUAACGCGUGGGAAUCUGCCCUUUGGUUCGGAAUAACAGCUGGAAACGGCUGCUAAUACCGGAUGAUGACGAAAGUCCAAAGAUUUAUCGCCAGAGGAUGAGCCCGCGUUGGAUUAGGUAGUUGGUGGGGUAAAGGCCUACCAAGCCGGCGAUCCAUAGCUGGUCUGAGAGGAUGAUCAGCCACACUGGGACUGAGACACGGCCCAGACUCCUACGGGAGGCAGCAGUGGGGAAUAUUGGACAAUGGGCGCAAGCCUGAUCCAGCAAUGCCGCGUGAGUGAUGAAGGCCCUAGGGUUGUAAAGCUCUUUUACCCGGGAAGAUAAUGACUGUACCGGGAGAAUAAGCCCCGGCUAACUCCGU